GUCACUUUUGAUCAAUUUAAUGCGUUCUGAAUGAAUAAAAGUAUUAAUUUCUUGUGGAAACUGUGAGGCACUGCAAGUAUUAAGCAGCACGAAUGUUUUCAACAUUGAUAAUAAGAAAUAAAUAAAUUUCACAUGCACCAUAUCAGCAUAUUAGAAUGAAAUGUAAAUGCAAAUAAAAUAUCUGGCCUUUAAUAAACUCCGAUCAGUCGAGCAGUGGUUAGGAUGCGGUGUUAGUGUCCAGCGGUCUUCUCGGACUUCAGAGAACAUCUUCGCUUCAUCUCUGCAGGUUUUGGCUGAAUGAUCCGCGUCUCUGAAAGUCACUUUAGUGUUUCUUUGGCAGCAGUGAGUUAAAGUGACUGAAGGACAUGUGUGCUGCUUCUUCACCGCAAACUUCAACCUUUAAAGCCUUAAAACGGCCUGAAAUCAGACAGAAGGACAGUGAUUAACACUGUCCUAAAUGUACUGCAACAAGUCCACUAGCAGAUGUUACUGUAAAUAUUUACAUUUAUAUUUAGUCAUUUAGCAGGUGCUUUUACCCAAAGCGACUUACAAUGGAAGAUAUCAAACCAACACAAGAGCAACAAUAUGUAAAUGUGUUUUAUAAAUAAAAAGAAAACAAGUAGAUAGAAUAGAUAUAGAAUAGAGAGAGCUAGUGUUAGGGGGUCAAGUUAUUAUUUUUAAUAAAUAAAAAGAAAACAAGUAUAUAGAAUUGAAAAAGAAUUGAGAGAGCUAGUGUUACAGGGUCAAGUUAUUAUUUUUUAAUAAAUAAAAAGAAAACAAGAAGAUAGAAUA
Sinocyclocheilus anshuiensis is the source of this 792-nucleotide long non-coding RNA. RefSeq lists it as uncharacterized. NCBI's taxonomy places the organism in Eukaryota, Metazoa, Chordata, Actinopteri, Cypriniformes, Cyprinidae. The record is from RefSeq and is a predicted model, not a curated record. The transcript has 2 exons.